Molecule: transfer RNA, 65 nt
Filed under: Dipodomys ordii (Ord's kangaroo rat)
Lineage: Eukaryota; Metazoa; Chordata; Mammalia; Rodentia; Heteromyidae
Rfam family: tRNA
About the family: Transfer RNA (tRNA) molecules are approximately 80 nucleotides in length. Their secondary structure includes four short double-helical elements and three loops (D, anti-codon, and T loops).
Source: Rfam by way of RNAcentral
GGUGGCUCAGGGGUAGAGUGCUUGCCUUGCAUGCAGGUGGCCCUGGGUUCGAUUCCUCAGCACCA